CAAUAGCGUAUAUUAAAGUUGUUGCAGUUAAAAAGCUCGUAGUUGGACCUUGGACCUGGACAGGCGGUCCGCCUCACGGCGUGUACUGUCUUGCUGGGUCUUUCCUCUUGGUGAUCUGUUGUUUCGGCAGCAGGGAACCAGGACUUUUACCUUGAAAAAAUUAGAGUGUUCAAAGCAGGCUCGACGCCGGAAUAUAUUAGCAUGGAAUAAUAAAAUAGGACGUGCGGUUCUAUUUUGUUGGUUUUUGGAAUCGCCGUAAUGAUUAAUAGGGACAGUCGGGGGCAUUAGUACUCACAUGCUAGAGGUGAAAUUCUUGGAUUUUGUGAAGACUAACUUCUGCGAAAGCAUUUGCCAAGGAUGUUUUCAUUAA
RNAcentral lists this ribosomal RNA (370 nucleotides) under uncultured eukaryote. RNAcentral's name for it is "partial 18S ribosomal RNA". It matches the Rfam family "Eukaryotic small subunit ribosomal RNA", at positions 592 to 976 of the family's 1831-position model. The record is from RNAcentral.